RNAcentral lists this ribosomal RNA (5422 nucleotides) under Streptococcus pneumoniae. RNAcentral's name for it is "23S ribosomal RNA". The stretch from base 3745 to 5421 matches the Rfam family "Bacterial large subunit ribosomal RNA". Lineage: Bacteria; Bacillati; Bacillota; Bacilli; Lactobacillales; Streptococcaceae. The record is from RNAcentral.
UCCUGCAUAAACUCGACCAUGCGUGUCGCCUUGCCAACCGCAAUCGGCAAAACACCCACCACAUCCGGAUCCAAGGUUCCACCAUGACCAAUUUUCUUGGUUCCCAAAAUCUUACGCAGUUUAAAAACUGCAUCAUGCGAGGUCAUUCCUGCUUCCUUUUUUAAGUUAAUAAUACCGUUCAUUUUUGCUUUCUACUCCCCCUUCAGUGCUUCGAACUUCGCUUUCAUGGUUGGAUUUUUCCGGGUCAAUUUUUUAACAGAGACAUCUUCCAAUUUGUUGUUAGCUAGACGGAGUUGGUUUUCAGAUGUAGUCAGGAAUUUCUUAACCUCUUCCAUGCGUUUGAUGGCCUUGUCGAUUUCAUCAAUAGCUUUUCCAAAGUUAGUCGAAGCUGAAUUAUAGUUCUUAGCAAAAGCUAGCUUAAAGGCAUCCAAAUCUUCCUCAAAAUGCGUAAUGUCAAUAUUUUGCUCGCGAACCAAGGCCAACUCCUGCUUGUAUUUUAGGGAAUUUAGCGCCGCAUUACGUAAGAGACCAAUCAAUUGGAUAAAGAAUUGAGGACGAACAACAUACAUUUUUUCAUACUCGUGACUGACGUCAACAAUCCCUGUGUUAAAGUAGUCAUUAUCAGCCUCAAGCAUGGUCACCAAAACGGCAUACUCACAGUUCUUCUCCCGACGGUCCUUGUCCAAUUCCUUGUAAAAAUCUGCAUUCUUGUGCUUCUUCUCUGUUCCGUCCGCUUCGUUUUUCAUCUCAAACAUGAUAGAAAUGAUUUCAACUCCAUUUUCAUCACACUCACGGAAGAUAAAGUCCCCUUUAGACCCACGCGAAGAGACCUUGUUAUCCUUCUCAAAGUAAGCAUUUGGAAAGGCGAAACUACGAACCUUGUUAAACUCACUCUCUGCAUACUGUUCUAGGCUUUCCCCAAUCGCUUUUGUAGAUUGUUGAGCCUUAAAAUUCUUAUAAAACUCGACUUGUUCACUAGCUGCCUUGAGCUGGGCUUCGUAGUUUUGCUUAACAGAAGCCAAAGAUAAUUCAUUUUCCUUUUCCUGCAAAAGUAGUUGGUUUUUAACCUGAUCCCGUUCUUUUUCUAGGUCAGAAAGGGUCUUUUGUAGUUGAUUUUCAUGCUCCAAACGCAAGGUAGCCAACUGAUUUUCUAAGAGCUGUACUUCCUUGUCCUUAGCCAAUAAGGCCUGAUGGCUUGUCUGUUCAACUUCUUUCUUGGCCAAUUCUUUUUCUGUAUCAAAGUUUUGGAUUUGACUCUGUAAUUGCGCAAUUUCUUGAUCCUUCUGAGCCAGUUUAGUCUGUUGCUCAUUCAUGGCCUUUUGCUCAGCCAAGGCCAGUUCCUGCUUCAUCCUAUCGUGUAGUUCCUUAUCAAACUCUGCCGUUCUCACUUGGGACAAGAGUUCGGCAUACUGACUCUCAUUUACUGUAAAGACUUCCCCACAGUUGGGACAUUUGAUUUCGUUCAUAUCGUUCCUCUUUCUAGACUUCUUUAACCAUUAUAUCAUGCCUGAGGGAAAAUCAAAAACAGUGAGUCGAAGCCCACUGUUUAUCUUCUUUUACUUUAAAUUUUUUCCAAGGCCAAGCGCAAGUCUUCAAUCAAAUCUUCUACAUUUUCAAGACCGAUUGACAAACGAAUUUAGUUUGGUGUGACACCUGCUGCUUCUAGGUCUUUUUCUGACAAUUGACCGUGAGUGGUUGUUGCUGGAUGGACAACAAGCGAUUUAGCAUCUGCCGCGUUUGCAAGGUCAGAAAAGAUUUCUAAAUUAUCAAUGACCUUGCGUGCUUCUUCCUCGCCACCUUUGACGUGGAAGGUAAAGAUUGAACCGACACCUUUUGGCAAGUAUUUCUCAGCCAAGGCAUGAUAAGGACUAUCUGCAAGUUUUGGAUAAUUUACCUUUUCUACCUUAGGAUGGUUGACAAGAAAAUCAACAAUUGUCUCAGCAUUUUGUACAUGGCGUUCCACACGAAGUGAAGAGGUUUCAAGUCUUUGUAGCAAGAGGAAAGCAUUGAAUGGUGACAAGGCUGCACCUGUAUCACGAAGCAAUUGAACUCGAACAGCUAUAAUAAAGGCUGCUGCACCCACAUCACGAGUAUAGCUCAAAUUGUGGCAGCUUGGACCCUCGUCAACAAAUUGAGGGAAUUUCCCUGAAGCCGUCCAGUCAAAACGACCACUAUCGACAAUUAUUCCUCCAAUAGUUGUACCAUGCCCACCGAUAAACUUAGUCACAGAGUGAAUGGCAAUGUCAACGCCAUGAGAGAAGACGUUAAUCAAAUAAGGUGUUGCAAAAGUAUUGUCUGACACAAGUGGGAUUUGAUGUUUAUGAGCAAUCUCUGCCAGUUUUUCCAGGUCUGGAAUAUUAAUCAAGGGGUUACCCAAGGUUUCAAUCAAGACAAGCUUGGUAUUGUCUUUGAUAGCUGCUUCUACUUCCUCCAAAUUAUCAAUAUCGAAAAAGGUUGUUGUGAUACCAUAACGAGGAAGGGGUUCUUUCAAAAGAUUGAAGGUUCCACCGUAAAUAGUCGAAGCAGCCACUACAUGGUCACCAGCAUGGGCAAUCGCCAAAAUAGUAUAAGUCACUGCAGUCAUACCUGAUGCUGUUGCUAGCGCUUCAACACCACCUUCAAGGGCAGCUGUUGUAGGAUUGGUGAUACGAGUAUAAAUGUUCCCUGGUUUCCUCAAGGCAAACAGAUCGGCACCUUCCUACGUGUCAUCAAAAACAAAAAAUGUUGUUUGAUAAAUCGGCACUGCACGAGACUUAGUAGCUGGAGCCACAACUUGACCAGCAUGUAGUUGUAGAGUUUCAAAUUUAAAAUCACAAGUCAUAAGGUGACCUCCAUAUUAUUUUAUUAAGGAUAUUGUAGCACCUUGAGUUAUAGUUUACAAAUAUCAGUUUUCUAUAUUUUGAUAUAAGAAAUAGCUAUUACCUUAUUUUGAAAAUGAAAAAAGCACGACUCAAUCGUGCUCAUUUUCUUAAUCUACAUAAGUAUCUUCGUUUUUAUUGAGGAAGGCAUAUGGAAGACCCAUCAAGAGGCCUCCUCCGAUAAAGUUUCCGAUGAAAGUCACACCCCAGUGGCGAAGCAUAUUUCCAACACCGAAGUUGGCAAUUGAAUCCGCAGCAACACUGAAUUUCACAAUCGCGAAAGAAGCAAAGUUCGCCGCAAUGUGCUCGUUUGUUAAGAAUACAAACAUGUAAAUAGCUGACAACACAAGCCAAAGUUUGGCACCACCAUCUUUGACCAAAAUAAAUGACAGAAUCGCAAUAUUUACAAAAAUAUUUGCCAAAAUCGCCUCAAGCAAGACCAAUUCAUUUGAGCGGCCUAACUUCAUCUCAACAACACCUGAGAUGAAACUAUCGUGUGUCAGAUUCGCAUAGGCUGCCGAAUGAGCAAAGCCCCACCCUGCUAUCAAGGCUCCGAUAAGGUUGAACAAGGUACAGUAUAGUAAAAUCUCAGCUGUUUUUCUCCAAGAGAUUUUUUUUAAGAAACUACCAGCAGUCAAGAACAUCAUGUUUGAAGUGACCAACUCGGCAUUCAAAAAAACAAUGUAGGCCAAGCCCCAAGCAAAAACGAAUGGAAAGAGGAAGCGUCCACUACCUGGUGCAAUUUUAUUAAUCAAGUCAGCCCCAACUGCACCUGCAGCAGUACUGAAGGUUAAAAAUGCACCUGCGAACAUCGAACGAAUCGCAUACUUAAAUUUGCUUUGACUAUAAAGACUUUCUUUCUUAUUGCAAGCAAAUUCAAUCUUUGAGAUAAAUUCCGAAGAAACCAUAAUAAACUCCUAAAUCUUUUUUCUUGAUAAUUAUAUCACAAACUUUAGGUUUUAGGAAGCGUUUUCUGUAUUUCAUAAAAGUUUAUAGUAGAUUGAAACUAGAAUAGUACACCUCUACUUCUAAAACAUUGUUAGAAAUCGAUUUGACUGUCCUGAUCGAUUUGUCCUNGUUGAUAUUCCUGUACUAGAGUAUGUAGUGAUGGAGGGACGCAGUAGGCUAACUAAAGCAGACGAUUGGAAGAGUCUGUCUAAGCAGUGAGGUGUGAAUUGAGUCAAAUGCUUAAUUCUAUAACAUUGAGCUGUGAUGGGGAGCGAAGUUUAGUAGCGAAGUUAGUGACGUCACACUGCCAAGAAAAGCUUCUAGCGUUUAAACAUACUCUACCCGUACCGCAAACCGACACAGGUAGUCGAGGCGAGUAGCCUCAGGUGAGCGAGAGAACUCUCGUUAAGGAACUCGGCAAAAUGACCCCGUAACUUCGGGAGAAGGGGUGCUGACUUUAAGUCAGCCGCAGUGAAUAGGCCCAAGCAACUGUUUAUCAAAAACACAGCUCUCUGCUAAAUCGUAAGAUGAUGUAUAGGGGGUGACGCCUGCCCGGUGCUGGAAGGUUAAGAGGAGUGCUUAGCGUAAGCGAAGGUAUGAAUUGAAGCCCCAGUAAACGGCGGCCGUAACUAUAACGGUCCUAAGGUAGCGAAAUUCCUUGUCGGGUAAGUUCCGACCCGCACGAAAGGCGUAAUGAUUUGGGCACUGUCUCAACGAGAGACUCGGUGAAAUUUUAGUACCUGUGAAGAUGCAGGUUACCCGCGACAGGACGGAAAGACCCCAUGGAGCUUUACUGCAGUUUGAUAUUGAGUGUCUGUACCACAUGUACAGGAUAGGUAGGAGUCUAAGAGAUCGGGACGCCAGUUUCGAAGGAGACGCUGUUGGGAUACUACCCUUGUGUUAUGGCCACUCUAACCCAGAUAGGUGAUCCCUAUCGGAGACAGUGUCUGACGGGCAGUUUGACUGGGGCGGUCGCCUCCUAAAAGGUAACGGAGGCGCCCAAAGGUUCCCUCAGAAUGGUUGGAAAUCAUUCGCAGAGUGUAAAGGUAUAAGGGAGCUUGACUGCGAGAGCUACAACUCGAGCAGGGACGAAAGUCGGGCUUAGUGAUCCGGUGGUUCCGUAUGGAAGGGCCAUCGCUCAACGGAUAAAAGCUACCCUGGGGAUAACAGGCUUAUCUCCCCCAAGAGUUCACAUCGACGGGGAGGUUUGGCACCUCGAUGUCGGCUCGUCGCAUCCUGGGGCUGUAGUCGGUCCCAAGGGUUGGGCUGUUCGCCCAUUAAAGCGGCACGCGAGCUGGGUUCAGAACGUCGUGAGACAGUUCGGUCCCUAUCCGUCGCGGGCGUAGGAAAUUUGAGAGGAUCUGCUCCUAGUACGAGAGGACCAGAGUGGACUUACCGCUGGUGUACCAGUUGUCUUGCCAAAGGCAUCGCUGGGUAGCUAUGUAGGGAAGGGAUAAACGCUGAAAGCAUCUAAGUGUGAAACCCACCUCAAGAUGAGAUUUCCCAUGAUUAUAUAUCAGUAAGAGCCCUGAGAGAUGAUCAGGUAGAUAGGUUAGAAGUGGAAGUGUGGCGACACAUGUAGCGGACUAAUACUAAUAGCUCGAGGACUUAUCCAA